Molecule: ribosomal RNA, 501 nt
Filed under: uncultured bacterium
Lineage: Bacteria
Description: partial 16S ribosomal RNA
Rfam family: Bacterial small subunit ribosomal RNA
Source: RNAcentral
AUUGAACGCUGGCGGCAGGCUUAACACAUGCAAGUCGAGCGGAGAUGAGGUGCUUGCACCUUAUCUUAGCGGCGGACGGGUGAGUAAUGCUUGGGAAUCUGCCUAUUAGUGGGGGACAACAUUCCGAAAGGAAUGCUAAUACCGCAUACGUCCUACGGGAGAAAGCAGGGGAUCUUCAGACCUUGCGCUAAUAGAUGAGCCUAAGUCGGAUUAGCUAGUUGGUGGGGUAAAGGCCUACCAAGGCGACGACCUGUAGCGGGUCUGAGAGGAUGAUCCGCCACACUGGGACUGAGACACGGCCCAGACUCCUACGGGAGGCAGCAGUGGGGAAUAUUGGACAAUGGGGGGAACCCUGAUCCAGCCGUGCCGCGUGUGUGAAGAAGGCCUUAUGGUUGUAAAGCACUUUAAGCGAGGAGGAGGCUACUGAGACUAAUACUCUUGGAUAGUGGACGUUACUCGCAGAAUAAGCACCGGCUAACUCUGUGCCAGCAGCCGCCGUAA